GCUCUUGAAGGAUAAUAGCCAUCCAUUGGUCUUAGGAACCAAAAACUCUUGGUGCAAGUCCAAGCAAGAGCU
This 72-nucleotide transfer RNA is filed under the name Thryssa hamiltonii (Hamilton's thryssa). RNAcentral's name for it is "tRNA-Leu". It matches the Rfam family "tRNA". Rfam says of the family: Transfer RNA (tRNA) molecules are approximately 80 nucleotides in length. Their secondary structure includes four short double-helical elements and three loops (D, anti-codon, and T loops). Lineage: Eukaryota; Metazoa; Chordata; Actinopteri; Clupeiformes; Engraulidae. RNAcentral also lists the same sequence under 1 other name. The record is from RNAcentral.